CAGCAGCCGCGGUAAUACGAAGGGUGCAAGCGUUAAUCGGAAUUACUGGGCGUAAAGCGUGCGUAGGCGGUUUGUUAAGUCUGCUGUGAAAUCCCCGGGCUCAACCUGGGAAUGGCAGUGGAUACUGGCAAGCUAGAGUGUGUCAGAGGAUGGUGGAAUUCCCGGUGUAGCGGUGAAAUGCGUAGAGAUCGGGAGGAACAUCAGUGGCGAAGGCGGCCAUCUGGGACAACACUGACGCUGAGGCACGAAAGCGUGGGGAGCAAACAGGAUUAGAGACCCCCGUAGUCCCUGUCUCUUAUAC
RNAcentral lists this ribosomal RNA (301 nucleotides) under uncultured bacterium. RNAcentral's name for it is "partial 16S ribosomal RNA". It matches the Rfam family "Bacterial small subunit ribosomal RNA", at positions 509 to 807 of the family's 1533-position model. The record is from RNAcentral.